This 83-nucleotide microRNA precursor is filed under the name Manduca sexta (tobacco hornworm). RNAcentral describes it as "mir-981 microRNA precursor family". It matches the Rfam family "mir-981 microRNA precursor family". The record is from Rfam by way of RNAcentral. Lineage: Eukaryota; Metazoa; Arthropoda; Insecta; Lepidoptera; Sphingidae.
CCGCACAUGAUUCGGGUUUCGAGACGAUGAAACCGUGAUUAAAUUAAAUGGUUCGUUGUCGACGAAACCUGCAAAAUGUGCGG